CUCCAUUAAACACCAUCUCAACCUAUUGUUCUUAAUAUUAAAACUACAUACUAGUAUUUUUCCUGAUUCAAAGUUUAUACCAUUUUAUAUCAUAAAAUAAAGUUUAGAUGCUUGUUAAUUAACACUCUUCUCCUCGAUAAUAUGUAUUUUAUUUAUAUAUCCUCAAAAUUGAAAUCUACCUGCAUAAUACAAACGUCAUUUCCUUUUUUCAGGAUAUAAAUAUAUAAUUGGAGCA
RNAcentral lists this long non-coding RNA (235 nucleotides) under Capsicum annuum. RNAcentral's name for it is "long non-coding RNA (CANN_LNC016828)". The record is from RNAcentral. Lineage: Eukaryota; Viridiplantae; Streptophyta; Magnoliopsida; Solanales; Solanaceae.